Molecule: non-coding RNA, 29 nt
Filed under: Homo sapiens (human)
Lineage: Eukaryota; Metazoa; Chordata; Mammalia; Primates; Hominidae
Source: RNAcentral
UNGCACCAAGUCUGCUUAGCUCAUGCCUU